This is a non-coding RNA of Chiloscyllium plagiosum (whitespotted bambooshark), 789 nucleotides long. The record is from RefSeq and is a predicted model, not a curated record. Lineage: Eukaryota; Metazoa; Chordata; Chondrichthyes; Orectolobiformes; Hemiscylliidae.
CUUGAAGACAAAGGAGGAGCAGAAGCUGAGCUUUUGGCUGUCAGUGUGAAAUCAUUUGUGUGUCCCUAUCUUCACUCUCUUCUUGGGGCUCCGAUCCUCCUCUUUGCUGUGCUUUCCUUGCACAGUCCAUACCAGGAAUCCCCUCACGGGGCCUACCAUUCUGCAGCUGAAGAAACCACUGCUCCUGUUGACUCCCCCAGAGUAUCGAUUUCGGCCUCCCGCACUGCCAUGGCUGACUGACACCAAUCACAGAUGUUGCCUUCUCUGCCAACUGCAGAGGCCAUCCUGCCAUUAAAAGCCAAUGCCGCUGCCACCAUCUCGAGUCCUGUGCUGGUGCCAUCACUCAGCUCAGGACCCGCAAUCACUGCUGUCGGGUGUUUCCUGAAGGCUCACUCCUUCUGUGCUGGGCUCACUGUCCUCAAACAACUGCCUUCUGCUGCUGCUGCCAUACAUGCUCAGGAAGCCAGGCUUGCUGUCACCCUGUCAAGUCCAGCAGAAGGCCUCAUCGUCAGCCGUCACCGAAGCAACUAUGAGGAAUGACUGCAGAUGACCCUGUGGCCUCCUGGAACCUCACCCGAAGCCUGAACUAGGUGUUGAGGCAGCACUAGACCGCCUCGACAGAAGCCACAAGGAACCUGAACUCAUCUCCAUCAUUGUUGCUGGGACUGAGUUCAUGCUGCUGAGCCUACUUGUCACUGGGACCAAACAUUUCACCAAGAGAUAAGUAAAAUAGAAUAAAAAAGAAAAUAAAACGAGAGAAGAGAGAGAGAAAAAAUAAACAAACAAAAA